Molecule: ribosomal RNA, 496 nt
Filed under: uncultured bacterium
Lineage: Bacteria
Description: partial 16S ribosomal RNA
Rfam family: Bacterial small subunit ribosomal RNA
Source: RNAcentral
AUGAACGCUGGCGGCGUGCCUAAUACAUGCAAGUCGAGCGAACGGACGAGAAGCUUGCUUCUCUGAUGUUAGCGGCGGACGGGUGAGUAACACGUGGAUAACCUACCUAUAAGACUGGGAUAACUUCGGGAAACCGGAGCUAAUACCGGAUAAUAUUUUGAACCGCAUGGUUCAAAAGUGAAAGACGGUCUUGCUGUCACUUAUAGAUGGAUCCGCGCUGCAUUAGCUAGUUGGUAAGGUAACGGCUUACCAAGGCAACGAUGCAUAGCCGACCUGAGAGGAUGAUCAGCCACACUGGAACUGAGACACGGUCCAGACUCCUACGGGAGGCAGCAGUAGGGAAUCUUCCGCAAUGGGCGAAAGCCUGACGGAGCAACGCCGCGUGAAUGAUGAAGGUCUUCGGAUCGUAAAACUCUGUUAUUAGGGAAGAACAUAUGUGUAAGUAACUGUGCACAUCUUGACGGUACCUAAUCAGAAAGCCACGGCUAACUACGUG